Molecule: ribosomal RNA, 346 nt
Filed under: uncultured bacterium
Lineage: Bacteria
Description: bacterial SSU rRNA
Rfam family: Bacterial small subunit ribosomal RNA
Source: RNAcentral
GGGCCCGCACAAGCGGUGGAGUAUGUGGUUUAAUUCGAUGCAACGCGAAGAACCUUACCAGGGUUUGACAUCCUGCGAACCUCUUGGAAACGAGAGGGUGCCUUCGGGAACGCAGUGACAGGUGGUGCAUGGCUGUCGUCAGCUCGUGCCGUGAGGUGUCAGGUUAAGUCCUAUAACGAGCGCAACCCACGUCUUUAGUUGCCAGCAUUUAGUUGGGCACUCUAGAGAGACUGCCGGUGAUAAACCGGAGGAAGGUGUGGAUGACGUCAAGUCAUCAUGCCCCUUACAUCCUGGGCUACACACGUACUACAAUGCUACGGACAAAGGGCAGCAAGUUCGCGAGGAC